RNAcentral lists this ribosomal RNA (825 nucleotides) under Nanos bimaculatus. RNAcentral's name for it is "SSU rRNA". It matches the Rfam family "Eukaryotic small subunit ribosomal RNA", at positions 471 to 1254 of the family's 1831-position model. The record is from RNAcentral. Lineage: Eukaryota; Metazoa; Arthropoda; Insecta; Coleoptera; Scarabaeidae. RNAcentral also lists the same sequence under 8 other names.
CGAAAAAUAACGAUACGGGACUCAUCCGAGGCCCCGUAAUCGGAAUGAGUACACUCUAAACCCUUUAACGAGGAUCAAUUGGAGGGCAAGUCUGGUGCCAGCAGCCGCGGUAAUUCCAGCUCCAAUAGCGUAUAUUAAAGUUGUUGCGGUUAAAAAGCUCGUAGUCGAAUUUGUGUCCCGCGCCGCCGGUUCAUCGCUCGCGGUGUCAACUGGCGUGUCCGCGGGACGUCCUGCCGGUGGGCUUAGCCCCUUCGGGGCGGCCCAAUCUCAAUCCCACCGCGGUGCUCUUCACUGAGUGUCGAGGUGGGCCGGCACGUUUACUUUGAACAAAUUAGAGUGCUUAAAGCAGGCUAAAACAUCGCCUGAAUACUGUGUGCAUGGAAUAAUGGAAUAGGACCUCGGUUCUAUUUUGUUGGUUUUCGGAACCCCGAGGUAAUGAUUAAUAGGAACGGAUGGGGGCAUUCGUAUUGCGACGCUAGAGGUGAAAUUCUUGGAUCGUCGCAAGACGGACAGAAGCGAAAGCAUUUGCCAAAAACGUUUUCAUUGAUCAAGAACGAAAGUUAGAGGUUCGAAGGCGAUCAGAUACCGCCCUAGUUCUAACCAUAAACGAUGCCAGCUAGCGAUCCGCCGACGUUCCUCCGAUGACUCGGCGGGCAGCUUCCGGGAAACCAAAGCUUUUGGGUUCCGGGGGAAGUAUGGUUGCAAAGCUGAAACUUAAAGGAAUUGACGGAAGGGCACCACCAGGAGUGGAGCCUGCGGCUUAAUUUGACUCAACACGGGAAACCUCACCAGGCCCGGACACCGGAAGGAUUGACAGAUUGAGAG